RNAcentral lists this ribosomal RNA (484 nucleotides) under uncultured bacterium. Its description in RNAcentral is "partial 16S ribosomal RNA". It matches the Rfam family "Bacterial small subunit ribosomal RNA", at positions 30 to 507 of the family's 1533-position model. The record is from RNAcentral.
AUUGAACGCUGGCGGAAUGCUUUACACAUGCAAGUCGAACGGCAGCACGGGGGCAACCCUGGUGGCGAGUGGCGAACGGGUGAGUAAUACAUCGGAACGUGCCCGGUCGUGGGGGAUAACGUAGCGAAAGUUACGCUAAUACCGCAUACGAUCUGAGGAUGAAAGCGGGGGACCUUCGGGCCUCGCGCGAUCGGAGCGGCCGACGUCAGAUUAGGUAGUUGGUGGGGUAAAGGCCUACCAAGCCGACGAUCUGUAGCUGGUCUGAGAGGACGACCAGCCACACUGGGACUGAGACACGGCCCAGACUCCUACGGGAGGCAGCAGUGGGGAAUUUUGGACAAUGGACGCAAGCCUGAUCCAGCCAUUCCGCGUGCAGGACGAAGGCCUUCGGGUUGUAAACUGCUUUUGUAUGGAACGAAAAGGCUCUGGCUAAUACCUGGGGCUCAUGACGGCACCGUAAGAAUAAGCACCGGCUAACUACGUG